Molecule: non-coding RNA, 45 nt
Filed under: Schistosoma curassoni
Lineage: Eukaryota; Metazoa; Platyhelminthes; Trematoda; Strigeidida; Schistosomatidae
Source: RNAcentral
AUCCAGCUGACGAGUCCCAAAUAGGAUUAAAUGAGCGUCCUGGAU